GCAUAUCAAUAAGCGGAGGAAAAGAAACCAACAGGGAUUGCCCUUAGUAACGGCGAAGUGAAGCGGCAACAGCUCAAAUUUGAAAUCUGGCUCUUUCAGAGUCCGAGUUGUAAUUUGCAGAGGGCGCUUUGGCGUUGGCAGCGGUCCAAGUUCUUUGGAACAGGACGUCACAGAGGGUGAGAAUCCCGUACGUGGUCGCUAGCCUUCGCCGUGUAAAGCCCCUUCGACGAGUCGAGUUGUUUGGGAAUGCAGCUCUAAAUGGGAGGUAAAUUUCUUCUAAAGCUAAAUACUGGCCAGAGACCGAUAGCGCACAAGUAGAGUGAUCGAAAGAUGAAAAGCACUUUGGAAAGAGAGUCAAAUAGCACGUGAAAUUGUUGAAAGGGAAGCGCUUGCAGCCAGACUUGCCUGUAGUUGCUUAUCUGGACUUUUGUCCAGUGCACUCUUCUGCGGGCAGGCCAGCAUCAGUUUGGGCGGUUGGAUAAAGGUCUCUGUCAUGUACCUCCUUUCGGGGAGGCCUUAUAGGGGAGACGACAUGCAACCAGCCUGGACUGAGGUCCGCGCAUCUGCUAGGAUGCUGGCGUAAUGGCUGUAAGCGGCCCGUCUUGAAACACGGACCAAGGAGUCUAACAUCUAUGCGAGUGUUUGGGUGUCAAGCCCAGACGCGUAAUGAAAGUGAACGGAGGUGGGAACCUUUUAGGUGCACCAUCGACCGAUCCUGAUGUCUUCGGAAGGAUUUGAGUAAGAGCAUAGCUGUUGGGACCCGAAAGAUGGUGAACUAUGCUUGAAUAGGGUGAAGCCAGAGGAAAACUCUGGUGGAGGCUCGCAGCGGUUCUGACGUGCAAAUCGAUCGUCAAAUUUGGGCAUAGGGGCGAAAGACUAAUCGAACUAUCUAGUAGCUGGUUCCUGCCGAAG
RNAcentral lists this ribosomal RNA (912 nucleotides) under Pyrenophora trichostoma. Its description in RNAcentral is "LSU rRNA". It matches the Rfam family "Eukaryotic large subunit ribosomal RNA", at positions 38 to 966 of the family's 3401-position model. The record is from RNAcentral. Lineage: Eukaryota; Fungi; Ascomycota; Dothideomycetes; Pleosporales; Pleosporaceae.